CAGAGAGCAAUAGGCUGGCUGUCUCUGUUAUACCUAAAGAAAGGCAGAAAAAAAUAAUGAAUACUCAAACAAAAUCUCUUUAAAAGACAAAUACAAGGAAAUGAGUUUGCACUUGUUUACAUUUUAAAGAAUGUAUCAUAUAUAUGGUACAGCGUGUACGAAAAUUCAAAAUUGCAUCCCCAGAGGUUAAUGACUAAACACACGAAAGAAAGGAAUGCUCUUCUAAAAACUUGAUUUCCUCUUUUAACAUUGUAUUCAUUUUUCUUGUGGAGAAUGAAUACUUUGAAAACAUAGGCUUAUUGUUGAUAUAACACAGGGAUGAGCAACGUAUGACCCUCUAAAUGUUUUCACUUAUAAUUCCCAUCGAUCCUUUCCAGCAUAGCCAAUGGUGAAGAAUCAUGGAGUUGUAGGCUAAAAUCCUGGAGGGCUAGAAGUUUCUCAUCCCGAUAAAAGAAUCCUAGCAGAAUCCUUUUAGAGUGUCAGGAACUAGAAGAUAACCAGAAUGUUUUGAUUAGUGUGAAGCUGAACUAUCCUCCCAAAAUAAAAGCUUCUCAGUUCAUUUUCAACAUUCCUUUCUAUGCUCCUUUUAAAAUUGCUCACUUGUUAACUUGUGAAUACAUCAGUGACUCAAAACCCUUUGUUUUUGUCCAGGACUCAUUUGUUGGUCUUCCCAUUUGACUGGAAUCGAAGAGAGGACAUAAUGGAGCCAAUCCAGCUGACAUGUUCAGAAGAGCCACCAACAUUUUCUUGAAAGACCACAAAGAAAAUCGCAAAGUUUUUCAAUGUUCCCAUUACAGACACAUUUACCUUAAACCAAAUAAAUAACAACAUUAU
Molecule: long non-coding RNA, 834 nt
Organism: Elgaria multicarinata webbii
Lineage: Eukaryota; Metazoa; Chordata; Lepidosauria; Squamata; Anguidae
Exons: 2
Source: RefSeq, a predicted model, not a curated record